AAGGCUUUAAGUUAAUAAAACUAUUAGCCUUCAAAGCUAGAAAUAUAGGCCUUAAUUCUUUUAAGCCUUA
This 70-nucleotide transfer RNA is filed under the name Grylloblatta sculleni. Its description in RNAcentral is "tRNA-Trp". It matches the Rfam family "tRNA". Rfam says of the family: Transfer RNA (tRNA) molecules are approximately 80 nucleotides in length. Their secondary structure includes four short double-helical elements and three loops (D, anti-codon, and T loops). Further hydrogen bonds mediate the characteristic L-shaped molecular structure. tRNAs have two regions of fundamental functional importance: the anti-codon, which is responsible for specific mRNA codon recognition, and the 3' end, to which the tRNAs corresponding amino acid is attached (by aminoacyl-tRNA synthetases). tRNAs cope with the degeneracy of the genetic code in two manners: having more than one tRNA (with a specific anti-codon) for a particular amino acid; and 'wobble' base-pairing, i.e. permitting non-standard base-pairing at the 3rd anti-codon position. The record is from RNAcentral. Lineage: Eukaryota; Metazoa; Arthropoda; Insecta; Grylloblattodea; Grylloblattidae.